AGCUCCAAUAGCGUAUAUUAAAAUUGUUGCGGUUAAAACGCUCGUAGUCGAACAUUCGCUAGGCUGCCCAAGUCCUUCCUAGAGAAGAUCACGCGGUGCGCGCCUUAGCUGUUACUCGGGUAAGGUCUGUCUGCUUCACUGUUGGCCAAACCUUCCCAAGUCUUUACUUUGAGGAAAUGAGAGUGUUCCAAGCAGGUCGAUGCCUUGGAUAUGAUAGCAUGGAAUAACAGUAUGAGACCUGCUUCCGAAGUUGUUGGUUCUUCGGAAAUAGGAAAUGCAAAAGGGGAUAGUUGGGGGUGUUUGUAUUUAACUGUCAGAGGUGAAAUUCUUGGAUUUUUUAAAGACACGCAAUUGCCAAGGCAUUUACCCAGGAUGUUCUCGUUGAUCAAGAACGAAAGUA
RNAcentral lists this ribosomal RNA (400 nucleotides) under phytoplankton environmental sample. Its description in RNAcentral is "partial small subunit ribosomal RNA". It matches the Rfam family "Eukaryotic small subunit ribosomal RNA", at positions 587 to 991 of the family's 1831-position model. The record is from RNAcentral.